GACUGCUCACUCGGUAGAGCGUGAGACUCUUAAUCUUAGGGUCGUGGGUUUCAGCCCCAUGUUGGGCA
Molecule: non-coding RNA, 68 nt
Organism: Podarcis lilfordi (Lilford's wall lizard)
Lineage: Eukaryota; Metazoa; Chordata; Lepidosauria; Squamata; Lacertidae
Source: the annotation of a GenBank genome assembly